Molecule: ribosomal RNA, 253 nt
Filed under: uncultured bacterium
Lineage: Bacteria
Description: partial 16S ribosomal RNA
Rfam family: Bacterial small subunit ribosomal RNA
Source: RNAcentral
GACAGAGGCCACAAGCGUUAGGCGGAAUCACUGGGCUUAAAGCGUGUGUAGGCGGAUGGCUAAGUGCCUUGUGAAAUCCCCCGGCUCAACCGGGGAACCGCUGGGCAUACUGGUCGUCUUGAGCUGUUCAGGGGCAACUGGAACGAACGGUGGAGCGGUGAAAUGCGUAGAUAUCGUUCGGAACGCCAACGGUGAAAACAGGUUGCUGGGGACAAGCUGACGCUGAGACACGAAAGCCAGGGGAGCAAACGGG